RNAcentral lists this transfer RNA (75 nucleotides) under Pseudonocardia kunmingensis. RNAcentral describes it as "tRNA-Leu". It matches the Rfam family "tRNA". Rfam says of the family: Transfer RNA (tRNA) molecules are approximately 80 nucleotides in length. Their secondary structure includes four short double-helical elements and three loops (D, anti-codon, and T loops). Further hydrogen bonds mediate the characteristic L-shaped molecular structure. tRNAs have two regions of fundamental functional importance: the anti-codon, which is responsible for specific mRNA codon recognition, and the 3' end, to which the tRNAs corresponding amino acid is attached (by aminoacyl-tRNA synthetases). tRNAs cope with the degeneracy of the genetic code in two manners: having more than one tRNA (with a specific anti-codon) for a particular amino acid; and 'wobble' base-pairing, i.e. permitting non-standard base-pairing at the 3rd anti-codon position. The record is from RNAcentral. Lineage: Bacteria; Bacillati; Actinomycetota; Actinomycetes; Pseudonocardiales; Pseudonocardiaceae.
CCCCCGGUAGCCCAAUUGGCAGUAGGCAGCGGUCCUAAACACCGCAAAGUGUGGGUUCGAAUCCCACUCGGGGCA